This 1416-nucleotide ribosomal RNA is filed under the name Triticum aestivum (bread wheat). Its description in RNAcentral is "partial small subunit ribosomal RNA". Lineage: Eukaryota; Viridiplantae; Streptophyta; Magnoliopsida; Poales; Poaceae. The record is from RNAcentral.
AUGGAUGCCUUGUCCGCUCUCAUCUGCAAGGCAUCUAGCGAGGGCGUGCUUUCCUCCUUCAACAGAAUCAAGGCAAACCAGAGAUUGUCUAUAUACGCUGACGACAUGGCUCUCUUCAUCCGUCCCACAGCCCAGGACCUUUCUUGUGUGAGAGAAAUGCUUCAAGUGUUUGGUCACGCUUCUGGACUGCGUGUAAACUACAGUAAAACUUCGGCCAUAGUGAUACAAGGGCAACAGGAAGAUGGGCAUAGGGUUCAGCAUUACUUGAACUGCCGGAUGGAAGAUUGGCCAUGCAAAUAUCUUGGCCUUCAGCUUAGUGUCCAUCAGCUAACCCGAGCAGAUUGGCAGCCCAUGCUUGAUCAGGCCAAGAAAUUCAUUCCAUCUUGGCAAAGGGGUCUGAUCCAGAGGCCUGGCAGACUUGUGCUCGUCAAGAGUGUGCUUUCGGCACGGCCAAUACAUCACCUGCUAGUCAUGGGCGCGCCUCAGUGGGUUUUCGAUGAGAUCGACAAAUGGAUGCGUGCCUUUUUCUGGGCAGGGAAAGAUUCUGUGAACGGCGGGCAAUGUAUGGUGGCAUGGCAAACUAUUUGCAGACCAACCUGCUUUGGAGGACUGGGAGUCAAGAACCUACAGUUGCAAGGACUAGCCAUGAGAGUGCGAUGGGAGUGGUUGAGGAGGACUGAUUUCACUCGCCCUUGGCAAGGCCUGCAACUCAUGGUGGACCGGGAGGCGAGGGCAGUCUUCGAAAGCAUGGUGCUAAUUAAGGUAGGAGAAGGUAGCAGGGUCUUGUUCUGGACAGAUAGAUGGCUACACGGGUGCACCGUCGGUGACAUAGCCCCCUUGAUUGCUAGCAUGGUGGAUGCCAGAACAAAAAGAAAGAGAACAGUGCAGCAGGCUCUAACGGAGGACGAUUGGCUACAUGACAUAAGAGACGAGCUAUCAUUCACGGCACACAUGCAGUUAAUCCACCUGCAACAGGCAAUUGCAACGGUUGGCAGGGAUGUCUCGGAGGAGGAUCAGUUCUCUUGGCCUUGCGACACCUCAGGUGUCUACACCACGAAAUCCACUUACAGUCGUCUUUGCCAGGGGUUAACGCGUCAUGUCGCAGCCCAGAGGAUCUGGCGUAGCUGGGCACCCCUCAAGUGCAAAAUCUUUGCCUGGCUAGCUUCCCAAAACAGGCCGUGGACAUCUGAUCGGAGAGCGAGGCACGGUUUGCAGGACGCUCCUUCCGCGUGUUACACGUGCUGUCAAGAGGAGGACAAUGCGGACCACAUCUUGGCACAAUGUGUCUUUGCGAGGCAAGUGUGGCACGGAUGCUUCGAUUACCUACAAGUCAACUUACACAUCCCCAGCCAUGAUGUCUCCUUCAUGGAUUGGUGGGGAAGGACUCGGGCUACAUUACAGGGAAUGGAUAAGUGA